RNAcentral lists this ribosomal RNA (422 nucleotides) under uncultured bacterium. Its description in RNAcentral is "bacterial SSU rRNA". It matches the Rfam family "Bacterial small subunit ribosomal RNA", at positions 355 to 774 of the family's 1533-position model. The record is from RNAcentral.
UAAGGAAUAUUGGACAAUGGAGGCAACUCUGAUCCAGCCAUGCCGCGUGAAGGAAUAAGGCCCUAUGGGUUGUAAACUUCUUUUAGACGGGACAAAACCCCUUUACGUGUAAAGGGUUGAUGGUACUGUCAGAAUAAGCAUCGGCUAACUUCGUGCCAGCAGCCGCGGUAAGACGAAGGAUGCAAGCGUUAUCCGGAUUCAUUGGGUUUAAAGGGUGCGUAGGCGGGCUUGUAAGUCAGUGGUGAAAUCUCUCAGCUUAACUGAGAAACUGCCAUUGAUACUGCAGGCCUAGAGUAUAGAUGACGUUGGCGGAAUAUGACAUGUAGUGGUGAAAUACUUAGAUAUGUCAUAGAACACCGAUUGCGAAGGCAGCUAACGAAACUAUAACUGACGCUGAGGCACGAAAGUGCGGGGAUCAAACA